UAGAAAUACUUCGUUACUGUACUUAAGUCGUUUUUUUGGGUAUCAGUAAUUUACUUUACUAUUCAUAUUUCUGUCAACUUUUACUUCACUACAUAAAAAAAUGAAAAAAAGUCUACAUUUACUCCGAUACAUUUCCCUGACACAUUCGUAACUCGCUACAAAAUCAAAUCAAUCUGAAGCUGGAAAAAAAAGACGAAUCAUGUUGGAAAAAAAGAUGCAAGCAACAUCGGCACGCUCAUGGGGGAACUUGUUUAGCUAGGCAGCAGGCGACGACAUGCAGAGUUGAUCCAAUCCUCACCAGUUUGGGCAAAUCCAAGGGUCCUAACGUGUCAACCCCACCCAUCGGGAGCCUGUUAACGUUACUUGCCAACCCAAAACAGUCAUCCACAAUCAUGUCCGACAUCGUUCUACCACCACUUCCUGAUGAGGAUGAACUCCCUUGGCUGUAUCUAUAAUAAAUGUUGUCUUUUCUCGGAAUGAAGGAUUCAUCCUACCGGAUGAAAUGUCUGUUAUGUUUACCAACAGUUCAGGAAAUACUAGCCUUCAAGAUCUCGCCGUCGAACUUAAAAAACAAAUUGAGAGAAAGCAUGUACACCAUCUUAAGAAGUAUGGAGAACUGACAGCAAACACACUGGAGAGAAAACAUGCCCCUGAGACGCCCUCCACCAUCAAGCAGAGCACAUUACUGAAGACAGUGUAUCAAAAAUCCAUUGACAAAGCUGUGGUGAAGUAUGUGGUCCAAGGGCUCCAACCAUUCGCUGUUGUAGAAUAAGAACCAUUCAGAGAGUUUGUCCAAGAUCUGCAGCCUAACUCAAAGAUCGUAUCAAGGCCCACACUGCACUCCGGGAUUGAUGAAGCCUCCAAGGAAAUGAAGGUGACUGAGGCCAUGAGAGGAAUUGACCACAUCGCCACCACCACCGACUGCUGGUCUGCAAGAAGACAGAGCUUCAUUGGUGUUACAUCCCACUGGAUAGACCCUGACAGUCUCAACAGAUGCUCUGCAGCCCUGCCUGUAAACGGUUGAGAGGAUCGCACAACUUUGAUGUCUUGGCAGGCGCCCUAAAUGACAUCUAUUCUGAGUUUGAAAUCCAGGUUAAGAUUGUGUGAACAACAACGGCUCUAACUUAUUGAAAGCUUUCCAAGUUUUUGGAGAAGGUGAAAACAACGACACAGUGGAAGCAGUGUGUGGUGAAGCAGCUCAGCCAGGACAGGAAGAUGGUGACGAGGAACAAGAGGAGAGUGAAGUAGUGGAGUUUGUUGAUGUGGCAACGAACCUGAAUGAAGAUGGUGGUUUUGAGUACCAGCUGCUAAAGCACCAGCGCUGUGCUUGCCACCUACUCAAAUUAGUAUCUACAGUCGAUGCCCUGAAACCAACAUCCAGUGAGGCUUACAAAAAAGUGUCCCAUUUGGCAAGUGCCAAGCACUUUGGAACAAAUGCGGAAGAUACACACUUGCAGCCAAAACGGUUGAAGAUGCUUGUGACCUCCAGCUGCUGCGCCCAAAUGCUACGAGGUGGAAGUCCUGGUUCAUGGCUGUAGAAAGACUCCUGAGGAUUGACAAAGGAGAGGCAGCCAUCAGAGUUCUCUGCAUAGACUUCUAGGUUCCAAUGUUCAAUCCAGCUGCACUCAUCCUUCCUCACAGAGUAUGCUUCUACCAUGAGCCCAGUCUCAAAGGCCAUCAACAUCCUGCAGGCUGAAACCAAUGUCCAGAUGGGGUGGCUACUUCCUACUAUCAACCUGCUGAUCACUAAACUGGACCAAGUCAAGUUGUCCCUGAAGUACUGUAAGCCUCUGGUGGAUGUGCUACAACUGGGACUGAAGAAGCGCUUCAGCCACAUGUUUCACGACCCUGAGCUGAUCACAGCUGCAAUCCUUCUCCCCAAAUUCAAAACAACGUGGACGAAGGAUGACGCCACCAUCAGAAUGGGAAUGGACUACAUCAAGGACCACCUGGAAGAACCCUUGCUGCAGCUAGGUGAUGGCACCAGUUCAUCAGAUGAGGACAUCUUCUCUCCCGAGUGGCCAGCGGUCUAAGGCACUGCAUCUCAGUGCUAGAAGUGUCACUACAGACCCUGGUUCGAUUCCAGGCUGUAUCACAACCGACUGUGAUUGGGAGUCCCAUAGGGCGGUGUCGUUAGGGUUUGGUCGGGGUAGGCCGUCAUUGUAAAUAAGAAUUUGUUCUUAACUGACUUGCCUGGUUAAAUAAAAUAAAUGAAGACGUCUCAAGCACAAGAAAGCUCCAAACAGCUGGACAGAUACCUGGCCUGUUCAGCUGAUCAUAUGGAGUUGCUCAAGUCCUUCCCGGCAGUCUGUAAGCUGUCUGAGGCUAAACACACCCUUACCUGCAUCAACUGGCUGUGAAAGGCUGUUCAGCAUUGCCGGACUUGUUUUCAGCCCCAGGAGAGCAAGGGUAGAUUCCAUAAACUUUGAUAACCAGCUUUUACUGAAGAUCAAAUCCUUCAACUUCAAGUAAUGACAGCUUAAUGCUAGCAAGCCCAAGGACACGGAUGCCUUAUGCGUUUUGUUCAUUUAUUAAAAAAAUUCACCAGUUAUAGAUGUCCUUGUUACAAAGGCAUGACCUGACACACUGAUUUCUAGUACAGUUCCAUCAGUGGUGAUGUCCUUAUUGCUAUAGUAAGGUUGGGUGUAGUUCUGUACAUGUACUUUUUUUUAAUGUAUAGGGUUCUAUUAUAGCAUGUUCUUUCUAAAGCAAAGUGAUUGUGAUUGUCAGUGCUUAUGUUUACUGGCAAUAUUCCUUCAUUAAGGCAUUCUAUUUUGUCUGUAAGAUAUAUUUUGAAGUGUUGCCUAUUUGAGAAUCCACAUAAUUAAAAAAAAAUCGGAGCUCUUCUUGCAUCCGUAAGACUGUUACCUUUCAAAAAAGCUCAAACCAAAUAAAAGGUCUGUCUGUUUUGCUUUA
Molecule: long non-coding RNA, 2916 nt
Organism: Salmo salar (Atlantic salmon)
Lineage: Eukaryota; Metazoa; Chordata; Actinopteri; Salmoniformes; Salmonidae
Source: RefSeq, a predicted model, not a curated record